Molecule: long non-coding RNA, 1626 nt
Organism: Pomacea canaliculata
Lineage: Eukaryota; Metazoa; Mollusca; Gastropoda; Architaenioglossa; Ampullariidae
Exons: 5
Source: RefSeq, a predicted model, not a curated record
UUCGCCGAUUUAACAUCACCAUAGAAGAAAAAAACGGGCCAAGUGUGUUUACAUCUUGGGAUUAAACUGCGGAAUCUUUGAUGAAGUCAGUACACACAUAAAACCACCAUUAUCGUUUACUAUUUUGAUUUAUACGUCCCUUGACUAGUACUGGUCGUUGGAGAGAGAGCAUGGAUAAAGACAUGGCAACAGACAAUACCCGCAACUCACGUCCGUCUUGGUCAACAGGUGUACAGGACGACUAACUCACUCCUUGUAUUUGUAUACCCUUUAGUCCAACUUACUAAUACCAUGAAUGACAGUCUUUGACAGAAUGGCCGGCAAAAACAAAUUAGGCUAAUUGACAGGUAAUAGAGUGCACUUUGAAGAACGCCUGCUGUCAUGUGCUACCAUUUGGACAAGCCACGUAGUGACAUGCCUGUAGCAUGAACCCGGAGGAUAGCAACUUCGCCACCCGUGUAGUGCAGCUCUCUCCAGCCGACCCAGAUGUCGGGUAUGGAUACAAAGCUCCAUAAAGGAUUGCGAGUGGGAAUACAUCGAGGGAGAACUUCAUACACCUGGCCUGGAGAAAAAUGUGGUCUCUAACACUUCGCUGCCCUAUGUCCGAAAGAUUUACAGUUUACCUGUUAAGAACACGAGCAGCUUGAACCGAACUUUAUGUAUCUGCUACAAAAGGUUUUUGGACAGACCAGAGAUAUUCAGAUUCUGUUUGACCAGAUAUGCACUUUUAAAUGUGUCUGCAGUUUUAUGUUACCAGAAAAGUCCCCUGAAAAGAGCUUUAUCAACUUUCAUCUGAUUGCUGAUUCUGUGCACCUCCAUGCAGGACCAAACGAUUGAGGCUGACAUGCGUUGUUUCGGCCAUACGACUUCUCCACGCUACUUGGUGGGAAUAAAUGUAGAUGAUAUGUAAGCUAGAACCAUUAUUUUAUGAGUCUAUUAGGUGUCGUGGAUGUAAAUGUGUUGUAGUAUUGUUGGUUUGUUGUUGAUGAAUUUACCGGUGAUGGUAGCUUAAGGGUCAUAAACAGAUGGUCAUCCUAACUCUUUCAGCAGCGUUUCGCUUCAAGCGAGCAUGAAAGUCUCAAGAGAACACGAUACCCCUUCGGGCACAAGACGCAAUCCUCCAACUCAUCCACCUUCUUGCCCAGUGACAGCAUGUUCUCAAAAAGUAUAAACAGUAAUGGUGGCAUUUCCUGUUUGUUGUCCUUCUUCUCUUCCUCUCAGUCACGACGUUUCCAGCCUGCCAGUGUGUGGAUGUCUUCAAGCUUGACUACGUCCGUCGUCUGCCACAGCAGUAAAGGAAUCUGAAGAUGAAAAUCUACAUCGUGCUUAUCCUGGCCCUUGUAGCCCUCACCAGUGCUAACGAGAUAGACAAGCGACAAUUAAUCGACAUCUCAGGCUUGGCACAUAAGAUUGAAACUUACCUAGAGCAGCAUGGUAAAGAACUUACGGGUGCGGCAUGCACGGCGGCGUGCGAUGUAAUGACUGAUGGCAUUGCGAUUUCUCUGUGUGGUGUAGCAUGCUCACUCCUUGGUGUUCACAAAUGAGGAGAUUCAGAUUGCAGCCUCCGGUUUCAGUCAAAACAUUCUCCCUGGAACCAAAGUGAAAUAAAUAUUUGAAAGUAACAAC